RNAcentral lists this ribosomal RNA (492 nucleotides) under uncultured bacterium. Its description in RNAcentral is "partial 16S ribosomal RNA". It matches the Rfam family "Bacterial small subunit ribosomal RNA", at positions 29 to 507 of the family's 1533-position model. The record is from RNAcentral.
AGUGAACGCUGGCGGUAGGCCUAACACAUGCAAGUCGAACGGCAGCACAGUAAGAGCUUGCUCUUCCGGGUGGCGAGUGGCGGACGGGUGAGGAAUACAUCGGAAUCUACUUUUUCGUGGGGGAUAACGUAGGGAAACUUACGCUAAUACCGCAUACGACCUACGGGUGAAAGCAGGGGAUCUUCGGACCUUGCGCGAUUGAAUGAGCCGAUGUCGGAUUAGCUAGUUGGCGGGGUAAAGGCCCACCAAGGCGACGAUCCGUAGCUGGUCUGAGAGGAUGAUCAGCCACACUGGAACUGAGACACGGUCCAGACUCCUACGGGAGGCAGAAGUGGGGAAUAGUGGACGAUGGGCGCAAGCCUGAUCCAGCCAUACCGCGUGGGUGAAGAAGGCCUUCGGGUUGUAAAGCCCUUUUGUUGGGAAAGAAAAGCAGCAGGUUAAUACCCCGCUGUUCUGACGGUACCCAAAGAAUAAGCACCGGCUAACUUCGUG